AGUCCGUGAAACUCACCCCAAUUCACACUCCUCAAUGCAGAUUAGUCGAUAUCAAGAGCUUCGAGGUUGAAGGAAGACUUUGAAGAACCUUUAGUGACUGUAAGAGUUUGUCUUGUAAAGUCAGUUUAAUUAUGUUAUAGUGAUGUAACGUAAAGGAUCUUGUAAGCCUCAUGACUUGUAAUUUUAUAUAGGAAUGACUGAAUCUUAAGUUUUUACUCAUUACUAUAUAAAUUUAUCAGGUUAUGUGUGUGAAGUAGCACUCAUUUCUCAACGGAG
This 276-nucleotide long non-coding RNA is filed under the name Carica papaya (papaya). Its description in RNAcentral is "long non-coding RNA (CPAP_LNC009022)". Lineage: Eukaryota; Viridiplantae; Streptophyta; Magnoliopsida; Brassicales; Caricaceae. The record is from RNAcentral.